This 1274-nucleotide ribosomal RNA is filed under the name Blautia wexlerae. RNAcentral's name for it is "partial 23S ribosomal RNA". It matches the Rfam family "Bacterial large subunit ribosomal RNA", at positions 1587 to 2875 of the family's 2925-position model. Lineage: Bacteria; Bacillati; Bacillota; Clostridia; Lachnospirales; Lachnospiraceae. The record is from RNAcentral.
CGAAGUCCGUGAGCCAUGCGUCAAGAAAAGCCGCUAUCGUUUAUACCGUACCCGUACCGUAAACCGACACAGGUGGAUGAGGAGAGAAUCCUAAGGCCGGCGGAAGAAGCAUUGUCAAGGAACUCGGCAAAAUGGCCCCGUAACUUAGGGAUAAGGGGUGCCUGGGAAACCAGGCCGCAGAGAAUAGGCUCAAGCAACUGUUUAGCAAAAACACAGGUCUAUGCGAAACCGAAAGGUGAGGUAUAUGGGCUGACGCCUGCCCGGUGCUGGAAGGUUAAGAGGAGAGGUUAGCGGUAACGCGAAGCUUUGAAUUUAAGCCCCAGUAAACGGCGGCCGUAACUAUAACGGUCCUAAGGUAGCGAAAUUCCUUGUCGGGUAAGUUCCGACCCGCACGAAAGGCGUAAUGAUUUGAGCGCUGUCUCGACAAUGCAUCCGGUGAAAUUGAAGUACCAGUGAAGAUGCUGGUUACCUGCGCCAGGACGGAAAGACCCCAUGGAGCUUUACUCCAGUCUGGUACUGGGACUCGGUAUUGCAUGUACAGGAUAGGUGGGAGGCUAGGAGAUGGUAACGCCAGUUGCCAUGGAGCCGCUGUUGGGAUACCACCCUUGCAGUAUUGGGUUUCUAACCAGCCGCCGUGACCCGGCGGUGGGACAAUGCCAGACGGGGAGUUUGACUGGGGCGGUCGCCUCCGAAAGGGUAUCGGAGGCGCCCAAAGGUUCCCUCAGAAUGGACGGAAACCAUUCGAAGAGUGCAAAGGCAGAAGGGAGCUUGACUGCGACACCGACGGGUGGAGCAGGUACGAAAGUAGGGCUUAGUGAUCCGGUGGUAUUAAGUGGGAAUGCCAUCGCUCAACGGAUAAAAGCUACCCUGGGGAUAACAGGCUUAUCACUCCCAAGAGUUCACAUCGACGGAGUGGUUUGGCACCUCGAUGUCGGCUCAUCGCAUCCUGGGGCUGUAGUAGGUCCCAAGGGUUGGGCUGUUCGCCCAUUAAAGCGGUACGCGAGCUGGGUUCAGAACGUCGUGAGACAGUUCGGUCCCUAUCCGGCGUGGGCGUAGGAUAUCUGAGAGGAGCUGUCCUUAGUACGAGAGGACCGGGAUGGACGGGCCGCUGGUGCAUCGGUUAGACUGCCAAGUCUACGGCCGAGUAGCCAAGCCCGGAAGGGAUAAACGCUGAAGGCAUCUAAGCGUGAAGCCCCCCUUAAGAUGAGAUAUCCCAUUCGAAAGAAGUAAACCCCCUUGAAGACGACGAGGUAGAUAGGGCAGAGGUGGAAGUG